GAAAUGCGAUAAGUAAUGUGAAUUGCAGAAUUCAGUGUAUCAUCGAAUCUUUGAACGCACAUUGCGCUCGCCAGCUAUUCUGGCGGGCAUGCCUGUCCGAGCGUCAUUUCAACCAUCAAGCCCCAGGCUUGCGUUGGGGGUCUGCGGCUGCCGCAGCCCCUGAAAAGCAGUGGCGGGCUCGCUGUCAUUCCGAGCGUAGUAGUUACAUCUCGCUCCGGGCGUGGCGGUGGGCACCUGCCGUGAAACACUCUUUCUAAGGUUGACCUCGGAUCAGGUAGGAAUACCCGCUGAACUUAA
Molecule: unclassified non-coding RNA, 297 nt
Filed under: uncultured Zopfiella
Lineage: Eukaryota; Fungi; Ascomycota; Sordariomycetes; Sordariales; Chaetomiaceae
Description: sequence contains ITS1
Rfam family: 5.8S ribosomal RNA (bases 1-106)
Source: RNAcentral